This 465-nucleotide ribosomal RNA is filed under the name uncultured Klebsiella sp. RNAcentral describes it as "bacterial SSU rRNA". It matches the Rfam family "Bacterial small subunit ribosomal RNA", at positions 338 to 795 of the family's 1533-position model. Lineage: Bacteria; Pseudomonadati; Pseudomonadota; Gammaproteobacteria; Enterobacterales; Enterobacteriaceae. The record is from RNAcentral.
CCUACGGGAGGCUGCAGUGGGGAAUAUUGCACAAUGGGCGCAAGCCUGAUGCAGCCAUGCCGCGUGUGUGAAGAAGGCCUUCGGGUUGUAAAGCACUUUCAGCGGGGAGGAAGGCGGUGAGGUUAAUAACCUCAUCGAUUGACGUUACCCGCAGAAGAAGCACCGGCUAACUCCGUGCCAGCAGCCGCGGUAAUACGGAGGGUGCAAGCGUUAAUCGGAAUUACUGGGCGUAAAGCGCACGCAGGCGGUCUGUCAAGUCGGAUGUGAAAUCCCCGGGCUCAACCUGGGAACUGCAUUCGAAACUGGCAGGCUAGAGUCUUGUAGAGGGGGGUAGAAUUCCAGGUGUAGCGGUGAAAUGCGUAGAGAUCUGGAGGAAUACCGGUGGCGAAGGCGGCUCCCUGGACAAAGACUGACGCUCAGGUGCGAAAGCGUGGGGAGCAAACAGGAUUAGAUACCCCAGUAGUC